This 582-nucleotide ribosomal RNA is filed under the name uncultured bacterium. Its description in RNAcentral is "bacterial SSU rRNA". It matches the Rfam family "Bacterial small subunit ribosomal RNA", at positions 298 to 873 of the family's 1533-position model. The record is from RNAcentral.
GGACGACCAGCCACACUGGACUGAGACACGGCCCAGACUCCUACGGGAGGCAGCAGUGGGGAAUAUUGGACAAUGGGGGAAACCCUGAUCCAGCGACGCCGCGUGGGUGAAGAAGGCCUGCGGGUUGUAAAGCCCUUUCGGUGGGGAAGAAAAGCCUCGACCUAACACGUCGGGGUAUUGACGUAACCCACAAAAGAAGCACCGGCUAACUCUGUGCCAGCAGCCGCGGUAAUACAGAGGGUGCGAGCGUUAAUCGGAAUUACUGGGCGUAAAGCGCGCGUAGGCGGCUAUACAAGUCGAGUGUGAAAUCCCCGGGCUCAACCUGGGAACUGCAUUCGAGACUGUAUGGCUUGAGUAUGGGAGAGGGAGGCGGAAUUUCAGGUGUAGCGGUGAAAUGCGUAGAUAUCUGAAGGAACAUCAGUGGCGAAAGCGGCCUCCUGGACCAAUACUGACGCUCAUGUGCGAAAGCGUGGGGAGCAAACAGGAUUAGAUACCCUGGUAGUCCACGCCAUAAACGAUGAGAACUAGAUGUCGGGAGGGUUAGCCUCUCGGUGUCGCAGCUAACGCGUUAAGUUCUCCGCC